Molecule: ribosomal RNA, 465 nt
Filed under: uncultured bacterium
Lineage: Bacteria
Description: partial 16S ribosomal RNA
Rfam family: Bacterial small subunit ribosomal RNA
Source: RNAcentral
CCUACGGGUGGCAGCAGUGGGGAAUAUUGCGCAAUGGGCGAAAGCCUGACGCAGCGACGCCGCGUGAGGGAUGAAGGUCUUCCGAUCGUAAACCUCUGUGAGCAGGGAAGAACGGUCACUGUGCUAAUCAGCAGUGAAUUGACGGUACCUGCAAAGGAAGCACCGGCUAACUCCGUGCCAGCAGCCGCGGUAAUACGGAGGGUGCGAGCGUUAAUCGGAAUUACUGGGCGUAAAGCGCUCGUAGGCGGUAUGUCAAGUCAAGGGUGAAAGCCCCGCGCUCAACGUGGGAACUGCCUUUGAAACUGGCAAACUGGAGUGUGUGAGAGGAUAGGGGAAUUCCAGGUGUAGGAGUGAAAUCCGUAGAUAUCUGGAGGAACAUCAGUGGCGAAGGCGACUAUCUGGCACAUAACUGACGCUGAGGAGCGAAAGCGUGGGUAGCAAACAGGAUUAGAUACCCCAGUAGUC